AGUGAACGCUGGCGGUAGGCCUAACACAUGCAAGUCGAACGGCAGCACAGUAAGAGCUUGCUCUUACGGGUGGCGAGUGGCGGACGGGUGAGGAAUACAUCGGCAUCUACUUUUUCGUGGGGGAUAACGUAGGGAAACUUACGCUAAUACCGCAUACGACCUACGGGUGAAAGCAGGGGAUCUUCGGACUUUGCGCGAUUGAAUGAGCCGAUGUCGGAUUAGCUAGUUGGCGGGGUAAAGGCCCACCAAGGCGACGAUCCGUAGCUGGUCUGAGAGGAUGAUCAGCCACACUGGAACUGAGACACGGUCCAGACUCCUACGGGAGGCAGCAGUGGGGAAUAUUGGACAAUGGGCGCAAGCCUGAUCCAGCCAUACCGCGUGGGUGAAGAAGGCCUUCGGGUUGUAAAGCCCUUUUGUUGGGAAAGAAAAGCAGCAGGUUAAUACCCCGCUGUUCUGACGGUACCCAAAGAAUAAGCACCGGCUAACUUCGUG
Molecule: ribosomal RNA, 492 nt
Filed under: uncultured bacterium
Lineage: Bacteria
Description: partial 16S ribosomal RNA
Rfam family: Bacterial small subunit ribosomal RNA
Source: RNAcentral